RNAcentral lists this long non-coding RNA (1774 nucleotides) under Sus scrofa (pig). Its description in RNAcentral is "lncRNA (ENSSSCG00035048481.1)". The record is from RNAcentral. Lineage: Eukaryota; Metazoa; Chordata; Mammalia; Artiodactyla; Suidae.
UUUUUUUUUUUUUUUUUUUGCAUCCUCCAAGUAAAGUGAAAUCAGUCAGCAUUAUGCCCCCUCCCCUCGACAAGUGAGGAUUACUUUCUCCUUGGGUAAACGAAGAGAACUCAUGCAGACGAACCAGAAGCUUAGAGAAGUUAACAUUCUUCAAGUUACCCAAACAGUGAAUGAGGGAGUCAGGAUUUGAAUCCUGAAAUCUAAUGCCAGAGUUUACAAGCCACGCUGGAAAUGAGGAUUAUCCUGAAUGAACAAAGAGUGCUUCUCCUCCUCAGGAGUUUGUUACAUAAACUUAAGAAUGAUAAACACAGAUGUCUUCCUAGAAAUAAAGUGCCAUAAAAUCAGACAGCUGGAAGGAACCUUUGAUAACAUCUCAUGAAAUCCAAUGCUGUCAUUCAUGCCUGGCGAUAAGGAACCUCAGGCUCAGAGAAGUUAAAUGAUUUCCACGAGGGCAUCCAGAUACUUAAAGGUAAGGAGCAAGUAUGGGGUUUACUGUAGCAGGUAUAUAGAGUUGACUACAACUCAGUUAUUUUAUUACAAACAAGAACCAUAUAAACCAAUCACACCCUAGCUUACCUAGCACAUAAAUGCAAUGUCCAGAAGGAAUAAACUAAACCAAAAGUCAAAAGGAAACAAAGUGUCCUUAGAUGAUAUUGCAGAACAAGUCUAGUUUCUUAUAGAUGAUGUAUCUCUCUUAUCUUUAUUUCAAAUGGUAUUUUACUUAACCUGGUAAUGAAGCUGCAAAAGUGUCUUUAUGUCAUCCCAAGAAGUAUAGAAGUAUAGAAGCCAAGGGCAGAAAUAAGGUGCCUGGAUAGAAAUAAUGUGUGUUAAGAGAAUAUUUUGUUAACAAUACUGUUCAUCUGCUUUUCUCCACUCUGGGUAUUGGAAUUAUUAGAAAUAAUAAUGCCUGGACAGAAAUAAGGUGUGUUAAGAGAAAUAUUUUGUUAACAAUACUCUUUAUCUGCUUUUCUCCACUCCGGGUAUUAGAAUUAUUAUUGGACAGAAAUAAGGUGUGUUAAGAGAAUAUUUUGUUAACAAUACUGUUUAUCUGCUGUUCUCCACUCUGGGUAUUGGAAUUAUUAUUUUAAAACUCAGAUGGGGCCCACCCUGCCCAGCUAAGGAUUAUUUAACUCAGGAUUUUGUAAGACUAGUAAUGGAUGUGUUGAGAAUGACUAAACACAUGCUAGAACGAGAAGUAUCUACCUUUUAAUAUAUCUUUUAAUAUGUACCAGAACUGAUAACGUCCUUAACUUUUGGGACCUUUUUGAAAAUCUGAUGAAAAAUUUGGAUCUGCCUUCCAGAAAUAUUUAAAUACACAAGAAGUUUUAGUUCCGUAGACCCAAAGUCCAUCAGGAGAGCUCAAGGUAAGGCCCUCUGCCAUAUAAUCAGUUCUGAUAGCAUCUUUCAAUUUCUCUUUCACCCAUUUUGGCUAAAGGAUUAGUCUCUGUUCUGGUCCAACUUGCAUAUUUUCCUGCAAUUUCCUUCCUGCUUGAUCACACUUCUUUUCUGGAAUUUCACUCUCUAGUUUCAGGACCUUAAUAUUUAUUGUUAGUUUCUAUAUUUUUAAAAACUCGGAGUUCCUGUUGUGGCUCAUAACAAGGAACCAUGGUUGCCGGUUCAAUCCCUGGCCUCUCUCAGUGGGUUAAGGAUCGAGCAUUGCUGUGAGCUGUGGUGCAGGCCGACAGCUACAGCUCCAAUGAUCCCUAGCCUGGAACCUCCAUGUGCCAUGGGUGCCACCCUAGAAAGGACAGAAAGACAGAAAAAAAAAAAAAAA